UAGGGAAUCUUCGGCAAUGGGGGCAACACUGACCGAGCAACGCCGCGUGAGUGAAGAAGGUUUUCGGAUCGUAAAGCUCUGUUGUAAGAGAAGAACGUGUGUGAGAGUGGAAAGUUCACACAGUGACGGUAACUUACCAGAAAGGGACGGCUAACUACGUGCCAGCAGCCGCGGUAAUACGUAGGUCCCGAGCGUUGUCCGGAUUUAUUGGGCGUAAAGCGAGCGCAGGCGGUUUAAUAAGUCUGAAGUUAAAGGCAGUGGCUUAACCAUUGUUCGCUUUGGAAACUGUUAAACUUGAGUGCAGAAGGGGAGAGUGGAAUUCCAUGUGUAGCGGUGAAAUGCGUAGAUAUAUGGGGGAACACCGGUGGCGAAAGCGGCUCUCUGGUCUGUAACUGACGCUGAGGCUCGAAAGCGUGGGGAGCAAACAGG
Molecule: ribosomal RNA, 429 nt
Filed under: bacterium
Lineage: Bacteria
Description: partial 16S ribosomal RNA
Rfam family: Bacterial small subunit ribosomal RNA
Source: RNAcentral